CACGUAGGCGGCGCAGUUAGUUAGAGGUGAAAGCCCCGGGCUCAACCUGGGAAUUGCCUUUAAUACUGCUGUGCUAGAGUCCAUCAGAGGGUGGCGGAAUAUCCAGUGUAGAGGUGAAAUUCGUAGAUAUUGGAUAGAACACCAGUGGCGAAGGCGGCCACCUGGGAUGGUACUGACGCUGAGGUGCGAAAGCGUGGGGAGCAAACA
Molecule: ribosomal RNA, 207 nt
Filed under: uncultured bacterium
Lineage: Bacteria
Description: partial 16S ribosomal RNA
Rfam family: Bacterial small subunit ribosomal RNA
Source: RNAcentral